This 85-nucleotide transfer RNA is filed under the name Felis catus (domestic cat). It matches the Rfam family "tRNA". Rfam says of the family: Transfer RNA (tRNA) molecules are approximately 80 nucleotides in length. Their secondary structure includes four short double-helical elements and three loops (D, anti-codon, and T loops). The record is from Rfam by way of RNAcentral. Lineage: Eukaryota; Metazoa; Chordata; Mammalia; Carnivora; Felidae.
GCCUGGGUGGCUCAGUUGGUUGAGCGUCUGACUUCGGCUCAGGUCAUGAUCUCACGGUUCGUGGGUUCGAGCCCCAUGUCAGGCU